GAUGAACGCUGGCGGCGUGCCUAAUACAUGCAAGUCGAGCGAACAGACGAGAGUGCUUGCACUCUCUGACGUUAGCGGCGGACGGGUGAGUAACACGUGGGUAACCUACCUAUAAGACUGGGAUAACUUCGGGAAACCGGAGCUAAUACCGGAUAAUAUUUAGCUUCGCAUGAAGCAAUAGUGAAAGACGGUUCUGCUGUCACUUAUAGAUGGACCCGCGGUGUAUUAGCUAGUUGGUGAGGUAACGGCUCACCAAGGCAACGAUACAUAGCCGACCUGAGAGGGUGAUCGGCCACACUGGGACUGAGACACGGCCCAGACUCCUACGGGAGGCAGCAGUAGGGAAUCUUCCGCAAUGGACGAAAGUCUGACGGAGCAAUGCCGCGUGAGUGAAGAAGGUUUUCGGAUCGUAAAACUCUGUUGUAAGGGAAAAACAAGUACGUUAGUAACUGAACGUACCUUGACGGUACCUUACCAGAAAGCCACGGCUAACUACGUG
RNAcentral lists this ribosomal RNA (499 nucleotides) under uncultured bacterium. RNAcentral's name for it is "partial 16S ribosomal RNA". It matches the Rfam family "Bacterial small subunit ribosomal RNA", at positions 28 to 507 of the family's 1533-position model. The record is from RNAcentral.